Molecule: transfer RNA, 74 nt
Filed under: Ixodes scapularis (black-legged tick)
Lineage: Eukaryota; Metazoa; Arthropoda; Arachnida; Ixodida; Ixodidae
Description: tRNA-Ile
Rfam family: tRNA
About the family: Transfer RNA (tRNA) molecules are approximately 80 nucleotides in length. Their secondary structure includes four short double-helical elements and three loops (D, anti-codon, and T loops).
Source: RNAcentral
GGCCUGCUAGCUCAGUCGGUUAGAGCUUCGUGCUAAUAACGCGAAGGUCACAGGUUCGAUGCCUCUGCAGGCCA